CCUACGGGGGGCAGCAGUGGGGAAUAUUGCGCAAUGGGCGAAAGCCUGACGCAGUGACGUCGCGUGAGGGAUGACGGUCCUCGGAUCGUAAACCUCUGUCAGCAGGGAAGAACGGUCACUGUGCUAAUCAGCAGUGAAUUGACGGUACCUGCAAAGGAAGCACCGGCUAAAUCCGUGCCAGCAGCCGCGGUAAUACGGAGGGUGCGAGAGUUAAUCGGAGUUACUGGGAGUAAAGCGGUCGUAGGCGGUAUGUCAAGUCAAGGGUGAAAUCCCCGGGCUCAACGUGGGAACUGCCUUUGAAACUGGCAAACUGGAGUGUGUGAGAGGAUAGUGGAAUUCCAGGUGGAGGAGUGAAAUCCGUAGAUAUCUGGAGGAACAUCAGUGGCGAAGGCGACUAUCUGGAACAUAACUGACGCUGAGGAGCGAAAGCGUGGGUAGCAAACAGGAUUAGAUACCCUAGUAGUC
RNAcentral lists this ribosomal RNA (465 nucleotides) under uncultured bacterium. RNAcentral's name for it is "partial 16S ribosomal RNA". It matches the Rfam family "Bacterial small subunit ribosomal RNA", at positions 338 to 795 of the family's 1533-position model. The record is from RNAcentral.